GUGAGAUGUAAGAAGUUUUUGGGAUCUGAAAAAUUCUGUGUAUGAGAGAAGAUCAAGGAGUGAGAAGUAACUGUUCAUCCCCUGUCGGUUAUUUAACCAGAAAGCCCACGGCUCAAUUAUCGUGCACAGCAGCCCGCGGUAAUACCGUAGGUGGGCAAGGCGUUGUUCCGGAUUUAUUGGGCGUAAAGCGAGCGCAGGCGGUUUCUUAAGGUCUGAUUUGAAAGCCCCCGGCUCACCCGGGGAGGGUCAUUGGAAACUGGGAGACUGAGUGCAGAAGGAGGAGAGUGGAAUCCCAUGUGUAGCGGGGAAAUGCGUAGAUAUAUGGAGGACCCCCAGUGGGGAAGCGGGCUCUUUGGUCUGUAACUGCCGCUGAGGCUGGAAAGGGGGGGAGCAAACAGGAUUAGAUCCCCUGGUAGUCCACGCCGUAAACGAUGAGUGCUAAGUGUUGAAGGGUUUCCGCCCUUCAGUGCUGCAGUUAACGCAUUAAGCAUUCCCCCUGGGGAGUACGACCCCAAGGUUGAAAUUCAAAGGAAUUGACGGGGGCCCGCCCAAGCGGUGGAGCAUGUGGUUUAAUUGGAAGCAACGGGAAGACCCUUACCAGGUCUUGACAUCCUUUGACCACUUUAGAGAUAGAGCUUCCCCUUCGGGGGCAAAGUGCCAGGUGGUGCAUGGUGGUCGUCAGCUCGUGUCGUGAGAUGUUGGGUUAAGUCCCGCAACGAGCCCAACCCUUAUUGUUAGUUGCCAUCAUUCAGUUGGCCAUUCUACCAAGACUGCCGGUGCCAAACCGGAGGAAGGGGGGGAGGACGUCAAAUCAUCAUGCCCCUUAUGCCCUGGGCUCCCCACGUGUUCCAAUGGGAAGUACAACGAGUUGGGAAGUCGGGAGGUUAAGCUAAUUUCUUAAAGCUUUUUUCAGUUCGGAUUCCAGGCUGCAAUUCGCCUCCAGGAAGCCGGAAUCGUUAGUAAUCGCGGAUCACCACGCCGCGGGGAAUACGUUCCCGGCCCUUGUCCCCCCCGCCCGUCCCACCACGAGAGUUUGUACCACCCGAAGUCGGGGAGGUACCCUUUGGAGCCAGCCGC
Molecule: ribosomal RNA, 1077 nt
Filed under: Enterococcus faecium
Lineage: Bacteria; Bacillati; Bacillota; Bacilli; Lactobacillales; Enterococcaceae
Description: bacterial SSU rRNA
Rfam family: Bacterial small subunit ribosomal RNA
Source: RNAcentral